GCAGGAGCACAUUGAUAAACUGAUGAUUAAUCAACUCAAAUCCUAAUACAACUUUAGCUACUAACUACGGGUUGAGUUACUUCUACUAAAAUACAAUAACUCUUACAAAUUUUGAAGUAGAUCGAAACAAACCAACAGUCUACAAAUAAAGCACAAUAAUCCAACAUAGUCCAUAGUUUAUAAAGAAAUAGUCCAUGGUUAUUAAUCAUACAAGUCAACACUUGGCUACUUUAAACAACUACAUUUUUUUAUCUAAUUACUACAAGUAUAUAACUAUCCAACAGGUAUAUUCCAGGAUCCACAAUCGAGUAGUUUUAUUCCAGUUUUUUCAAGCUCGGAACUACAGUAGAGAUUCAAAAUGUGUACUUGAAAGUUGAAUCACAACAAGAAGAAAGAAGAAGAUCAGCAGCAGCAGAUAACACAGUAACAACAGCAGUACACCAGAAAAUUCCAACAGCAAACAACCAAUCAAGUUCAACACCCAGAACAGUUUGAAAACCAAAUGAAGCCCAUAGAAGAGCCCCAACAGAAUACCAAAACUCGAAAAUGAACCCAAGGGACUGAAGUUAAACAAUCAACGGAUCCCCAACUGUCUCAAACCAAACAGACUCGGAACAAAAAGAACUGAGGAACUGAAUUCAAACCCAAAACUUGAAAAACAAUACUCUCAAAAAGGCUCCUGAAAGCUGAUUCCCAAAACCUCUCUCUAAAACUGACCCUUGAAGUUUGUUCAGCUCUCUUGUAUUAUUUUUGGACUCUCAAUAUGUUCUCCUCAAUUUCAAUACUCUUUUCCUAGUUCUAUGGGUUUUUUGACUCUCAACUCUUACUGCUAGUUCAAGUUCUCUUAAUGUCUCUACUGACCUCUAUAUUUAAACCCAACCUUUUAAAACCCUUUUCAGCCCUUCUUUUUCUUUUACAGUUGUAAAAGAAAACCUUUUGUAUUACUACACCCAUGCUUUUUUUACUUUCCAGCUUUCUAUAUUCUUCUACUAUGUGAACCCUUUUAGCUUUUUAUUUAUUACUUACUAUUUUUUAUUGCCAAUUCGUUAAAAAGCAACAGAUUAUUACAGUCAUAACCCAUUAGAGCCCUACUUAUUACUUAGUGGCCCCCUACUAAUAUGUCUUGUUCCCCAAUUUCAUUAAACAAAUACAAUAGUUUAAUUGUCCAUUAGUAACUUACUGACAGCCAUCAAAUUAAAGCAUUUUUAAAGUUUUGGCAGCCUAAAUUACCCCUGCGAUUCACUGAAACUACUGACCUAUCCAAAUCUUCCUUCACUCUGUACCAAAACCACAACUACAACCAAUUCCAUUUAUCAAUCAAUUAGUAAUGCAAAGUACAAGAUCAAAUCAAAUAACAUUAACAAUGAUGGCUAACAGCUCAGUGCAACACAUAUUGAGCUAACUAUAUUGGGGAACCAAUCAUAUUUAGCUUAAAACAAGUGAAGUGAAACCAAUUAGAUGAACAUACACUUAGUUGGAUUGGAAAACAACAGAAGAAACAUCCAGAAGAGCUUUAAGGGGAUCGACAGAUUCAUGAUAAAAAAUGAUUAAUCAAUUCAGUUCAAAAAUGAACUGAAUAUACCAACAGGCUUAGUUCUAUGUUCAACUGUGACAACAUGCUUAUUUCAAUACAAGCAUUAGAACAGAAAAGAAACAGGUGGGGAAACCUACUAGAAUGAACCAAAAUUAAACUAUUAUCACGUUACUCUAACAUUCAAACAUAAUAGACUAAUCGACGACACUUAUUCAAUCGAUUAAAAAUGUUAUAACCUAUAACUAUCAAUCAGAAAAUUUGGACGAAGAAAAAGGUCCAGAAGAGAAUAAGAAGAUAAUUGACAAAAAUAACGGAAAAGCAAUCGAACAAAAUACAAUGAGACCUAAAAAGAUAAACUACAAAAAUAGAAUAGACAAAGAGAGGAAAUACCUCAAAUUGAGAAACCAAACGGACUUUGUCCGCAUCAAAGCUUCUUCUCAAACUCUUUUGAGCACAAAAUGGACCUUAAUCUAGUGUUCUCGAUUGAGAACACUCGACUAAGGUCAGUUGUUAACCUCAAAUUUCCCCUAAUCUCGGAUAGGUUUAGUUUUUUGUUCUGUUAGAGUUCUUUGGUUUGAUUUGGGAUUCGAAUAGUUCCAACGAGAUUCAAACAAAACUAAUGGAGAUUAGGAGGUUGAUUGGUUUGAGUUUGGUAGUGAAUGGGUGAACUAGGGUUAGGGUCUGAUCUUUCAAACUAUUAUUGGAGAAUAUUAGUGAUGAUUCGAGGAAAAAAGGGUAGGGAUUUGGAACGAGGAAGGAAUGGAGGUUCAGUGGUGUGAUUUUGGUGGACGGCGGCAUUGUUGCCGCCGGGUUUCAGGCGAAGGAUUUUGAUGGCGGCUAGGGUUUCAAGGGGUUGUCUCUGAGAAUUCUGAGAGAGACGAUAAGGCAGGGGGGGUUGUGUUUGGGGGGACUGGGUAGGAGUUUAGGAAUAUAUACUAGGUGGGAUUUUUAAUCCUGGCCAUUAGAUCUACUAAGAUCAACGGCUAGGAUAUGGGAGGUG
This 2534-nucleotide long non-coding RNA is filed under the name Nicotiana benthamiana. RNAcentral's name for it is "long non-coding RNA (NBEN_LNC011567)". Lineage: Eukaryota; Viridiplantae; Streptophyta; Magnoliopsida; Solanales; Solanaceae. The record is from RNAcentral.